ACGAAUCAAUCAAGUUUCUACUAAAACAGAACUAUAGAAUCAGUCCGUCCGGUUAAGCAUUGGGGAGCUGAUAGGUCGAACGGAGUGGUGCCAGAGCUCUAAAGUGGCUCUAAAUAUCCAUUUCUUUGAUUUUCCUGUGUGAUUUUUAGGCGGCUAUCUAUAUUAGCCAGAAAGCACUUACAUUUGAGACCGGGCACUUCGUCAUCAGGUGGAGAAGAACGAACGGACAUUUCCGAUCUUUUGUAUUCGAUUCGGAUCUCUA
RNAcentral lists this long non-coding RNA (262 nucleotides) under Hordeum vulgare. RNAcentral describes it as "long non-coding RNA (HVUL_LNC008628)". Lineage: Eukaryota; Viridiplantae; Streptophyta; Magnoliopsida; Poales; Poaceae. The record is from RNAcentral.